GUCAGGAAGGUCCAUGGGAACAACCCUAGCUCCUGACUUCUCCUGAACACCUGUGGAGUUUUGGCCCUGAGGGAAACAGGUUCCCUAUCUGCCCCAUGCUCAUGCUGAUGACUGCUGGUAUUUCUGCAGCGCGCUCACCCCGUGCCCGGCCAGCUCUCCGAGGAUGAGGGAGGCAGGAGGACAGGAGUUAGCUCCUCCAGCCAGGCCUGAUGUCACACUCCUGGCUUCUGAGAACUGCCAGAGAGCACUGCAGGUAUUUGGCGUUGGAGGUGCUCAGGCUUCACACCAUCCAUCCCAGCCCCCAAGAAAAGGGGUCACCAUGAGGCGGGGGACGGCUGGAACACCCCUCCCCACAGAGAAAAUGGCAGAGAGAUUCCAGCCUGGGACCAGGUGGGUGAAUGCGGGACCAGGUGGGUGGAUGUGGGACUGUGUGGGCACAGGGUGGGGUGAGGGGAGAGGCAGUUGGCAGCUCUGGGAUGAUGAUUCCCUGUUGUUGCAGACACCUUUCCCCACGAGCCAUCCAGGUGCUCCAUGGGCUGGAGCCACAUCAGACACGAAGGAACAUCUUCAUGUUUUUGGCUGAGAACAACCGACGGCGGCAGGAGCAGCAGAGGCAGUUCUUC
Molecule: long non-coding RNA, 623 nt
Filed under: Serinus canaria (Common canary)
Lineage: Eukaryota; Metazoa; Chordata; Aves; Passeriformes; Fringillidae
Description: lncRNA (ENSSCAG00000000193.1)
Source: RNAcentral